Molecule: unclassified non-coding RNA, 319 nt
Filed under: uncultured fungus
Lineage: Eukaryota; Fungi
Description: sequence contains ITS1, 5.8S rRNA gene
Rfam family: 5.8S ribosomal RNA (bases 271-319)
Source: RNAcentral
UUUCCGUAGGUGAACCUGCGGAAGGAUCAUUACAGUAUGAACUAUGGGAGUUGUUAGCUGGCCUUCUGGCAUGUGCUCGCUCUCUAUUUCAAUCCACACACACCCAUGUGCACCUUGACGAGUCCCCCUCCCUGAUCGCCUCUUUGUAGGAACAGGAGUCGUUUCAUGGCAUAAUUGCUGUGAAACUGAGAGUCGGCUUGUCUCUUCAACAUUAAUAAAUACCAGUCUUAAAGCAAAUCAAUUGAGCUCUAUGGAGCUAUAACAAAAUACAACUUUCAACAACGGAUCUCUUGGCUUCCACAUCGAUGAAGAACGCAGC